This 20-nucleotide microRNA is filed under the name Solanum tuberosum (potato). RNAcentral describes it as "stu-miR167b-3p". Its record names the gene stu-miR167b-3p. The record is from miRBase by way of RNAcentral. Lineage: Eukaryota; Viridiplantae; Streptophyta; Magnoliopsida; Solanales; Solanaceae.
GAUCAUGUGGCAGCAUCACC